RNAcentral lists this ribosomal RNA (432 nucleotides) under uncultured bacterium. RNAcentral describes it as "partial 16S ribosomal RNA". It matches the Rfam family "Bacterial small subunit ribosomal RNA", at positions 29 to 507 of the family's 1533-position model. The record is from RNAcentral.
AACGAACGCUGGCGGCAUGCCUAACACAUGCAAGUCGAACGAGACCUUCGGGUCUAGUGGCGCACGGGUGCGUAACGCGUGGGAAUCUGCCCUUGGGUUCGGAAUAACAGUUGGAAACGACUGCUAAUACCGGAUGAUGACGUAAGUCCAAAGAUUUAUCGCCCAGGAUGAGCCCGCGUAGGAUUAGCUAGUUGGUGGGGUAAAGGCCUACCAAGGCGACGAUCCUUAGCUGGUCUGAGAGGAUGAUCAGCCACACUGGGACUGAGACACGGCCCAGACUCCUACGGGAGGCAGCAGUGGGGAAUAUUGGACAAUGGGCGAAAGCCUGAUCCAGCAAUGCCGCGUGAGUGAUGAAGGCCUUAGGGUUGUAAAGCUCUUUUACCCGGGAUGAUAAUGACAGUACCGGGAGAAUAAGCCCCGGCUAACUCCGUG